This 254-nucleotide ribosomal RNA is filed under the name uncultured bacterium. Its description in RNAcentral is "partial 16S ribosomal RNA". It matches the Rfam family "Bacterial small subunit ribosomal RNA", at positions 524 to 776 of the family's 1533-position model. The record is from RNAcentral.
UACGAGGGGUGCAAGCGUUAUUCGGAAUCAUUGGGCGUAAAGGGUGCGUAGGCGGCAUAUUAAGUCAGCUGUUAAAUUUCCCGGCCUAACCGGGAGUAUGCGGUCGAUACUGAUGUGCUAGAGGGUGGAAGAGAGAAGUGGAAUUCUCGGAGUAGCGGUAAAAUGCGUAGAUCUCGAGAGGAACACCGAUGGCGAAGGCAGCUUCUUGGUCCACAUCUGACGCUGAGUGCACGAAAGCGUGGGGAGCAAACAGG